GACGAACGCUGGCGGCGUGCUUAACACAUGCAAGUCGAACGGAAAGGCUCCAGCUUGCUGGGGUACUCGAGUGGCGAACGGGUGAGUAACACGUGGGUAAUCUGCCCUGCACUCUGGGAUAAGCCUUGGAAACUGGGUCUAAUACUGGAUAUGACCUUUCUCCUUAUGGGGUUUGGUGGAAAGUUUUUCGGUGUAGGAUGAGCCCGCGGCCUAUCAGCUUGUUGGUGGGGUGAUGGCCUACCAAGGCGACGACGGGUAGCCGGCCUGAGAGGGUGAUCGGCCACAUUGGGACUGAGAUACGGCCCAGACUCCUACGGGAGGCAGCAGUGGGGAAUAUUGCACAAUGGGCGGAAGCCUGAUGCAGCGACGCCGCGUGAGGGAUGACGGCCUUCGGGUUGUAAACCUCUUUCAGCAGGGACGAAGCGUAAGUGACGGUACCUGCAGAAGAAGCACCGGCUAACUAUGUG
Molecule: ribosomal RNA, 467 nt
Filed under: uncultured bacterium
Lineage: Bacteria
Description: partial 16S ribosomal RNA
Rfam family: Bacterial small subunit ribosomal RNA
Source: RNAcentral